GACGAACGCUGGCGGCGUGCUUAACACAUGCAAGUCGAACGGAAAGGCCCUGCUUUUGUGGGGUGCUCGAGUGGCGAACGGGUGAGUAACACGUGAGUAACCUGCCCUUGACUUUGGGAUAACUUCAGGAAACUGGGGCUAAUACCGGAUAGGAGCUCCUGCUGCAAGGUGGGGGUUGGAAAGUUUCGGCGGUUGGGGAUGGACUCGCGGCUUAUCAGCUUGUUGGUGGGGUAGUGGCUUACCAAGGCUUUGACGGGUAGCCGGCCUGAGAGGGUGACCGGCCACAUUGGGACUGAGAUACGGCCCAGACUCCUACGGGAGGCAGCAGUGGGGAAUAUUGCACAAUGGGCGGAAGCCUGAUGCAGCAACGCCGCGUGCGGGAUGACGGCCUUCGGGUUGUAAACCGCUUUCGCCUGUGACGAAGCGUGAGUGGCGGUAAUGGGUAAAGAAGCACCGGCUAACUACGUG
This 468-nucleotide ribosomal RNA is filed under the name uncultured bacterium. Its description in RNAcentral is "partial 16S ribosomal RNA". It matches the Rfam family "Bacterial small subunit ribosomal RNA", at positions 28 to 507 of the family's 1533-position model. The record is from RNAcentral.